Molecule: ribosomal RNA, 468 nt
Filed under: uncultured bacterium
Lineage: Bacteria
Description: partial 16S ribosomal RNA
Rfam family: Bacterial small subunit ribosomal RNA
Source: RNAcentral
GACGAACGCUGGCGGCGUGCUUAACACAUGCAAGUCGAACGGAAGGGCCCUGCUUUUGUGGGGUGCUCGAGUGGCGAACGGGUGAGUAACACGUGAGUAACCUGCCCUUGACUUUGGGAUAACUUCAGGAAACUGGGGCUAAUACCGGAUAGGAGCUCCUGCUGCAUGGUGGGGGUUGGAAAGUUUCGGCGGUUGGGGAUGGACUCGCGGCUUAUCAGCUUGUUGGUGGGGUAGUGGCUUACCAAGGCUUUGACGGGUUGCCGGCCUGAGAGGGUGACCGGCCACAUUGGGACUGAGAUACGGCCCAGACUCCUACGGGAGGCAGCAGUGGGGAAUAUUGCACAAUGGGCGGAAGCCUGAUGCAGCAACGCCGCGUGCGGGAUGACGGCCUUCGGGUUGUAAACCGCUUUCGCCUGUGACGAAGCGUGAGUGACGGUAAUGGGUAAAGAAGCACCGGCUAACUACGUG